Molecule: ribosomal RNA, 471 nt
Filed under: uncultured Staphylococcus sp.
Lineage: Bacteria; Bacillati; Bacillota; Bacilli; Caryophanales; Staphylococcaceae
Description: bacterial SSU rRNA
Rfam family: Bacterial small subunit ribosomal RNA
Source: RNAcentral
CUCAGGAUGAACGCUGGCGGCGUGCCUAAUACAUGCAAGUCGAGCGAACAGAUAAGGAGCUUGCUCCUUUGACGUUAGCGGCGGACGGGUGAGUAACACGUGGGUAACCUACCUAUAAGACUGGAAUAACUCCGGGAAACCGGGGCUAAUGCCGGAUAACAUGUUGAACCGCAUGGUUCUACAGUGAAAGACGGUCUUGCUGUCACUUAUAGAUGGACCCGCGCCGUAUUAGCUAGUUGGUGGGGUAACGGCCUACCAAGGCGACGAUACGUAGCCGACCUGAGAGGGUGAUCGGCCACACUGGAACUGAGACACGGUCCAGACUCCUACGGGAGGCAGCAGUAGGGAAUCUUCCGCAAUGGGCGAAAGCCUGACGGAGCAACGCCGCGUGAGUGAUGAAGGUCUUCGGAUCGUAAAGCUCUGUUGUUAGGGAAGAACAAAUGUGUAAGUAACUGUGCACAUCUGACGGUA